This 257-nucleotide ribosomal RNA is filed under the name uncultured bacterium. RNAcentral describes it as "partial 16S ribosomal RNA". It matches the Rfam family "Bacterial small subunit ribosomal RNA", at positions 524 to 776 of the family's 1533-position model. The record is from RNAcentral.
UACGGAGGGUGCGAGCGUUGUCCGGAAUCAUUGGGCGUAAAGGGCGCGUAGGUGGCCACUUCAAGCGUGCGGUGAAAGUCGGGGGCUCAACCCCUGAUCGGCCGUGCGAACUGGGGGGCUGGAGCACUGUAGAGGCAGGCGGAAUUCCGGGUGUGAGCGGUGGAAUGCGUAGAGAUCCGGAAGAACACCGGUGGCGAAGGCGGCCUGCUGGGCAGUUUUGCUGACACUGAGGCGCGACAGCGUGGGGAGCAAACAGG